ACGGAGGAGAUUACUAAGGGCUUAAAGAGGAAGAACUCCUGAUUGGCACUGUCUGCUACCUCUGUAAGGAUGAACGUUAAGAAAAGGAGGUUGGUCAAGGAAUUCGAGCUGGUCCCUUCCCGAAAAGAGACCUCGUCUUCCUUGCCUCCAAAGAGGUCUUCAACGGAAAAGUCAGGCAAGGGCAAAGAUAGGGAGAGCUCGCUUCAAGAAGGUAGCGAUGAUCUUCUGACCAUCUUAAUUCCCAACAUGUAAGGGCUGUAUUUCCAAUUGACCCUGACUCUAAGCCUACUUCUAUUGUCGAGUUGCUCAACAAUCACGUCUUUAGGACAUCCUUGAACUUGAAUUAUCCUCGAAAGGUGAGCAUGAUUUGCCACACAAUCCAAUCCAUGAGGCAGUCAGCUUCGUUUGCUGCUUAGGCGGACAAGGACUUUUUUAGUGCCUCUGAGAGACAAGUUCUUCUCGUAAGUUUUUCUUACUCUUUCCUUAUUCAAUGGUUGAUUUUUAGUAGUUUUCUAACUUAUUUUUUCCCCUGUAGCUUCUUAGUGCUCUGGUAGAGUUGGAGGGUAAAAUGACUAGUGCUCGGGAGGUUGUCCGUCAUGAUGUUGAAAAAGCUAAGGAAGAGAAAGUGUGUGGGUGGCCACCGCAUUGAAAAAAUUUUACGAGGGGGAGAUUGGUUGGCUGGAAAGACUUCUCCAAGUCAAACAGGCUUAGAAUGAUAAGGUUGCCCGUCUGAAGGACCAACUUGCUAAGGAGAGAGUUGCCGCAUAAGCUAAACUUGCUUAUAAGAAAGCUUUCGUAGAUCAAAGGGAGAGAAAUCUUGCCACCCGGUUUGCCAAGCUUGAGGAGGAGGUGUAGAGGUUGCCUGGGGAUAAAGCUGGAGUUGAGUAGUGCUCGGAGAUAAACUGAAGCCAUGAAAAGUGAGCACAAAACCAAGAUCCAUGACCUUUUUAUUCGAUGUAAAGAUUAUGAAAAGAAGGUUAUAGAUGCUCAUGAGAUGGUGAUUUGGUGGCAUAGAGCCAUGUCAAUAAGUAUCUGAGGUCAGAUGAGUUCAAGGCCAAAGUCUUUUAUCAGUCCACUUGCUUUUAUGCGAUGGGUUUUAAUGAUGGCCUCUUGAAAGCUCGGGAAUUUUAGGCUGUUCCACUCAGUACUCUUUAUGCUGUAGAGUAUGACUCUGACAAUGAGGUGUAAUAUGGUCCUGACGAUCGUGCUAUUCCCAAAAUUCAUCCUCCUGCUCCUUAAGAGACAUUAGCUCGUCUAGCGGCUAAGUUUGAUCAGGGUAACAGCCAGGUCAAUGAUGAUCCCCCUGCUUUUAAGGCUGCUAAUGCCCUUUUGGAUCCUUCUUUAGAAGGUGUGCUCUAGCAUAUUCGACUGUUGUGACUGCUGAUGUUUCAAAGAGCACCUCCGAAGUUGAGCCCGUUUUGACUGGUGACCUUGCCUUUUCUAGAGAAAAUUAAGGAUUUGCUUCCUAUAAACAAUUUUAUUUGUAUGUUCGUUUAGACUACUUUUUGAAUUGUAAUACAUUCUGAUUAAUGAA
Molecule: long non-coding RNA, 1534 nt
Filed under: Manihot esculenta (cassava)
Lineage: Eukaryota; Viridiplantae; Streptophyta; Magnoliopsida; Malpighiales; Euphorbiaceae
Description: long non-coding RNA (MESC_LNC011623)
Source: RNAcentral